CCUACGGGCGGCUGCAGUGGGGAAUAUUGGACAAUGGGGGCAACCCUGAUCCAGCCAUGCCGCGUGUGUGAAGAAGGCCCUCGGGUUGUAAAGCACUUUCAGUGAGGAAGAACGCCUGGUGGUUAAUACCCAUCAGGAAAGACAUCACUCACAGAAGAAGCACCGGCUAACUCCGUGCCAGCAGCCGCGGUAAUACGGAGGGGUGCGAGCGUUAAUCGGAAUUACUGGGCGUAAAGCGCGCGUAGGUGGCUUGAUAAGCCGGUUGUGAAAGCCCCGGGCUCAACCUGGGAACGGCAUCCGGAACUGUCAAGCUAGAGUGCAGGAGAGGAAGGUAGAAUUCCCGGUGGAGCGGUGAAAUGCGGAGAGAUCGGGAGGAAUACCAGUGGCGAAGGCGGCCUUCUGGACUGACACUGACACUGAGGUGCGAAAGCGUGGGUAGCAACCAGGAUUAGAUACCCCUGUAGUC
This 466-nucleotide ribosomal RNA is filed under the name Vreelandella stevensii. RNAcentral's name for it is "partial 16S ribosomal RNA". It matches the Rfam family "Bacterial small subunit ribosomal RNA", at positions 338 to 795 of the family's 1533-position model. Lineage: Bacteria; Pseudomonadati; Pseudomonadota; Gammaproteobacteria; Oceanospirillales; Halomonadaceae. The record is from RNAcentral.